RNAcentral lists this ribosomal RNA (1451 nucleotides) under Staphylococcus aureus. Its description in RNAcentral is "partial 23S ribosomal RNA". It matches the Rfam family "Bacterial large subunit ribosomal RNA", at positions 1474 to 2925 of the family's 2925-position model. The record is from RNAcentral. Lineage: Bacteria; Bacillati; Bacillota; Bacilli; Caryophanales; Staphylococcaceae.
GCAGUAGGAUAGGCGAAGCGUGCGAUUGGAUUGCACGUCUAAGCAGUAAGGCUGAGUAUUAGGCAAAUCCGGUACUCGUUAAGGCUGAGCUGUGAUGGGGAGAAGACAUUGUGUCUUCGAGUCGUUGAUUUCACACUGCCGAGAAAAGCCUCUAGAUAGAAAAUAGGUGCCCGUACCGCAAACCGACACAGGUAGUCAAGAUGAGAAUUCUAAGGUGAGCGAGCGAACUCUCGUUAAGGAACUCGGCAAAAUGACCCCGUAACUUCGGGAGAAGGGGUGCUCUUUAGGGUUAACGCCCAGAAGAGCCGCAGUGAAUAGGCCCAAGCGACUGUUUAUCAAAAACACAGGUCUCUGCUAAACCGUAAGGUGAUGUAUAGGGGCUGACGCCUGCCCGGUGCUGGAAGGUUAAGAGGAGUGGUUAGCUUCUGCGAAGCUACGAAUCGAAGCCCCAGUAAACGGCGGCCGUAACUAUAACGGUCCUAAGGUAGCGAAAUUCCUUGUCGGGUAAGUUCCGACCCGCACGAAAGGCGUAACGAUUUGGGCACUGUCUCAACGAGAGACUCGGUGAAAUCAUAGUACCUGUGAAGAUGCAGGUUACCCGCGACAGGACGGAAAGACCCCGUGGAGCUUUACUGUAGCCUGAUAUUGAAAUUCGGCACAGCUUGUACAGGAUAGGUAGGAGCCUUUGAAACGUGAGCGCUAGCUUACGUGGAGGCGCUGGUGGGAUACUACCCUAGCUGUGUUGGCUUUCUAACCCGCACCACUUAUCGUGGUGGGAGACAGUGUCAGGCGGGCAGUUUGACUGGGGCGGUCGCCUCCUAAAAGGUAACGGAGGCGCUCAAAGGUUCCCUCAGAAUGGUUGGAAAUCAUUCAUAGAGUGUAAAGGCAUAAGGGAGCUUGACUGCGAGACCUACAAGUCGAGCAGGGUCGAAAGACGGACUUAGUGAUCCGGUGGUUCCGCAUGGAAGGGCCAUCGCUCAACGGAUAAAAGCUACCCCGGGGAUAACAGGCUUAUCUCCCCCAAGAGUUCACAUCGACGGGGAGGUUUGGCACCUCGAUGUCGGCUCAUCGCAUCCUGGGGCUGUAGUCGGUCCCAAGGGUUGGGCUGUUCGCCCAUUAAAGCGGUACGCGAGCUGGGUUCAGAACGUCGUGAGACAGUUCGGUCCCUAUCCGUCGUGGGCGUAGGAAAUUUGAGAGGAGCUGUCCUUAGUACGAGAGGACCGGGAUGGACAUACCUCUGGUGUACCAGUUGUCGUGCCAACGGCAUAGCUGGGUAGCUAUGUGUGGACGGGAUAAGUGCUGAAAGCAUCUAAGCAUGAAGCCCCCCUCAAGAUGAGAUUUCCCAACUUCGGUUAUAAGAUCCCUCAAAGAUGAUGAGGUUAAUAGGUUCGAGGUGGAAGCAUGGUGACAUGUGGAGCUGACGAAUACUAAUCGAUCGAAGACUUAAUCAA